RNAcentral lists this ribosomal RNA (251 nucleotides) under uncultured prokaryote. RNAcentral describes it as "partial 16S rRNA". It matches the Rfam family "Bacterial small subunit ribosomal RNA", at positions 525 to 775 of the family's 1533-position model. The record is from RNAcentral.
ACAGAGGUGUCAAGCGUUGUUCGGAUUUACUGGGCGUAAAGGGACCGUAGGCGGUUUGAAGAGUUGGAUGUGAAAUCCCACAAAUCAACUGUGGAAUGGCAUUCAAAACUAUCAGGCUCGAGUACUGUAGGGGAGAAAGGAAUUCUUGGUGUAUGGGUGAAAUGGGUAGAUAUCAAGAGGAACACCGGUGGUGAAGGCGGCUUUCUGGAUAGAUACUGACGCUGAGGGUCUAAAGUUAGGGGAGCAAACAG